This 106-nucleotide unclassified non-coding RNA is filed under the name Brucella sp. 191011898. Its description in RNAcentral is "BASRCI153". Lineage: Bacteria; Pseudomonadati; Pseudomonadota; Alphaproteobacteria; Hyphomicrobiales; Brucellaceae. The record is from RNAcentral.
GCAUUUUCGAGCCAGAAGUGCGAAGCGCCUACGUGGGAAAUGCGACAAAACAAAUAGUUAGAGCGGUUCCGGCGAUUCUGUUAAAACGGGAACCACUCUCGUGGAU